AUAAUUGCAUAUUUGAUUAGUAGUUGCGGAGCGCAAUAAUGAAAGGUUUGGAUAGGAUUCUAACUUUGUGCCGAUUUAAUAAAGAGAAUAAGAUUUUCAACUUCUUAAUGGAAACUAGUGGAGUGGUGUGACAUUGGCCACCACCACAUCCUCCUUUUGAUUAGGCCACUUUGGCGUAUUUUUCUUGUAAAAAAAACAUUACAACUUUACAUUAAUGCAAAGCUCCAUACACCAAAAAAAAAAGAAGAAUUUAUGUUUGCAAGUGCUUUAACUUUUUCUUCUCAUGAUAAAAGCUUCAUUGCAAUGUCG
RNAcentral lists this long non-coding RNA (309 nucleotides) under Brassica rapa (field mustard). RNAcentral describes it as "long non-coding RNA (BRAP_LNC007391)". The record is from RNAcentral. Lineage: Eukaryota; Viridiplantae; Streptophyta; Magnoliopsida; Brassicales; Brassicaceae.